RNAcentral lists this long non-coding RNA (850 nucleotides) under Homo sapiens (human). Its description in RNAcentral is "non-protein coding lnc-PSAP-1:2". Lineage: Eukaryota; Metazoa; Chordata; Mammalia; Primates; Hominidae. The record is from RNAcentral.
AGUCUUGCCGGCCUCUCAGAGAGUCAGCCAACCCCUGAGGCCUUUCGGGGACUGAUAACGCUCACCUUUGGCUCAGACUGAAUCCAAACACUUCACCUCUUUUUCUUCACAGAGCCCCAUCCUCCAAAGGACCCUGUUCCAGCUUGUGACAAACCCAGAGGCAAUCCUGGUCAUCCGGAGGAGGAGGUGUCUGUGCCGUUGCUUGGAGCUGACUGUAGGCCUAGAGGCACAGGAUUAUACAGGAUUGUAAGAGAAUUGUAUUUUUCUUCCUUGCAUUUUUCGGUGUUUUCUAAAUUUUUUCAAUGAGUAUCCUUUUGAGAAUCAUUAAAAAAGAAUACAUUUUACUUGACAAGGUAUAUAAAUACAUGGGUUAAGAUAUUAAAAUAGAAAGAGUAAGGAUUGCUUGCACGUUACAGAGUCUGGGAUUUGGAGCUCAGUGCCUGGCACUGAGGGGAUCAAAGUGCCAGGUGCUCAAAGUGUUCGUUGAAUGAGAGGCGGGGGUGGGGGUAAUGGGUGGUGAGACUGCUACCCUGUCCCUCCUCCCUCACCACAUCAAUGUCUGUGAAGCAUUUCUAGAGGAUCUACUGUGCAAUGGAACCCUGGGAGCCAGGGGUGACUGGGGAGGCAGCAGGUGCAGGUGCUGGUAAUGCCGUGCCAUUGGGAGCCCCACUGGGGGUCCUCCAUGAAUCACAGGGGACCCAUACCCAGGAUACUGAGGAAGCUUCCAGAAAAAAAGAGUGAUGCUGGCCCUGGAUUGUGAGGAUGGGCAGGGGUUUUUUGGAGUGGGAGAAGGGUACAGGUGUUCCAGGUCAUCAGUCCAAGUUCCUUCACUCCUUCAUUAUUUACUUGC